GAUGAACGCUAGCGGCAGGCCUAAUACAUGCAAGUCGAACGAGAUUAAGAGGCUUGCUUCUUAUGAAAGUGGCGCACGGGUGCGUAACGCGUAUGCAACCUACCUUAAUCAGGGGGAUAGCCCGAAGAAAUUCGGAUUAAGACCGCAUAAAAACACAGGAUAGCAUUAUCCAAUGUUCAAAUAUUUAUAGUAUUAAGAUGGGCAUGCGUGUCAUUAGCUAGUUGGCGGGGUAACGGCCCACCAAGGCGACGAUGACUAGGGGAUCUGAGAGGAUGACCCCCCACGCUGGUACUGAGACACGGACCAGACGACUACGGGAGGAAGCAGUAAGGAAUAUUGGGCAAUGGAGGGAACUCUGAACCAGCCAUGCCGCGUGCAGGAAGACAGCCCUCUGGGUCGUAAACUGCUUUUAUUAGGGAAUAAACCUUUCUACGUGUAGGAAGCUGAAUGUACCGAAGGAAUAAGGAUCGGCUAACUCCGUG
This 482-nucleotide ribosomal RNA is filed under the name uncultured bacterium. RNAcentral describes it as "partial 16S ribosomal RNA". It matches the Rfam family "Bacterial small subunit ribosomal RNA", at positions 28 to 507 of the family's 1533-position model. The record is from RNAcentral.